CUAUACUGUGAAACUGCGAAUGGCUCAUUAAAUCAGUUAUCGUUUAUUUGAUAGUACCUUACUACUUGGAUAACCGUGGUAAUUCUAGAGCUAAUACAUGCUAAAAACCCCGACUUCGGAAGGGGUGUAUUUAUUAGAUAAAAAACCAAUGCCCUUCGGGGCUCCUUGGUGAUUCAUGAUAACUUAACGAAUCGCAUGGCCUUGCGCCGGCGAUGGUUCAUUCAAAUUUCUGCCCUAUCAACUUUCGAUGGUAGGAUAGUGGCCUACCAUGGUAUCAACGGGUAACGGGGAAUUAGGGUUCUAUUCCGGAGAGGGAGCCUGAGAAACGGCUACCACAUCCAAGGAAGGCAGCAGGCGCGCAAAUUACCCAAUCCCGACACGGGGAGGUAGUGACAAUAAAUACUGAUACAGGGCUCUUUUGGGUCUUGUAAUUGGAAUGAGUACAAUUUAAAUACCUUAACGAGGAACAAUUGGAGGGCAAGUCUGGUGCCAGCAGCCGCGGUAAUUCCAGCUCCAAUAGCGUAUAUUAAAGUUGUUGCAGUUAAAAAGCUCGUAGUUGAACCUUGGGCCUGGCUGGCCGGUCCGCCUCACCGCGUGUACUGGUCCGGCCGGGCCUUUCCUUCUGGGGAUCCCCAUGCCCUUCACUGGGUGUGGCGGGGAACCAGGACUUUUACUUUGAAAAAAUUAGAGUGUUCAAAGCAGGCCUUUGCUCGAAUACAUUAGCAUGGAAUAAUAGAAUAGGACGUGCGGUCCUAUUUUGUUGGUUUCUAGGACCGCCGUAAUGAUUAAUAGGGAUAGUCGGGGGCAUCAGUAUUCAAUUGUCAGAGGUGAAAUUCUUGGAUUUAUUGAAGACUAACUACUGCGAAAGCAUUUGCCAAGGAUGUUUUCAUUAAUCAGUGAACGAAAGUUAGGGGAUCGAAGACGAUCAGAUACCGUCGUAGUCUUAACCGUAAACUAUGCCGACUAGGGAUCGGGCGAUGUUAUUAUUUUGACUCGCUCGGCACCUUACGAGAAAUCAAAGUCU
RNAcentral lists this ribosomal RNA (1024 nucleotides) under Kellermania anomala. RNAcentral describes it as "SSU rRNA". It matches the Rfam family "Eukaryotic small subunit ribosomal RNA", at positions 74 to 1106 of the family's 1831-position model. RNAcentral also lists the same sequence under 1 other name. The record is from RNAcentral. Lineage: Eukaryota; Fungi; Ascomycota; Dothideomycetes; Botryosphaeriales; Planistromellaceae.